UUCCCACUCCUCUUUUGUCCACUUACACUCUUUUUUUUUGUUAUAGUAGAAACUAUUAAAAAACAAAAGGGAGUGUAAGUGGACAAAAGGGGAGUGGGAAAAUCACCUC
Molecule: microRNA precursor, 109 nt
Filed under: Prunus dulcis (almond)
Lineage: Eukaryota; Viridiplantae; Streptophyta; Magnoliopsida; Rosales; Rosaceae
Description: sRNA ncRNA
Source: RNAcentral